GAUGAACGCUAGCGGCAGGCCUAAUACAUGCAAGUCGAACGGGAUUGCGGUAGUAGCUUACUACUACCGCAUGAGAGUGGCGCACGGGUGCGUAACGCGUGAGCAACCUACCCAUAUCAGGGGGAUAGCCCGGCGAAAGUCGGAUUAACACCGCAUAACAUCAACACUUCGCAUGUUCAGUUGAUUAAAUAUUUAUAGCAUAUGGAUGGGCUCGCGUGACAUUGGCUAGUUGGUAGGGUAACGGCAUACCAAGGCAACGAUGUCUAGGGGCUCUGAGAGGGGACUCCACCAGAAUGGUACCGCGACACAGACCAGACUGCGACGGAAGACAGCAGAAACGAACAUAAUGCAAGAAGGGCAAGCCUAAACCAGCCACGCCGGGUACAGGAGGACUGGGAUAGGGAUUGUAAGCUGCUUUUGAAAGAGAAUAGUCCCAUUUACGAGUAGAGUGUUGAAUGUACCUGAAGAAUAAGGAUCGGCUAACUCCGUG
RNAcentral lists this ribosomal RNA (490 nucleotides) under uncultured bacterium. Its description in RNAcentral is "partial 16S ribosomal RNA". It matches the Rfam family "Bacterial small subunit ribosomal RNA", at positions 28 to 507 of the family's 1533-position model. The record is from RNAcentral.